GUGCCUAUAGCUCAGCGGUAGAGUUCCAGAUUGUGGAUCUGGCUGUCGUGGGUUCGAACCCCACUAGGCACC
Molecule: transfer RNA, 72 nt
Filed under: Treponema berlinense
Lineage: Bacteria; Pseudomonadati; Spirochaetota; Spirochaetia; Treponematales; Treponemataceae
Also listed under: 1 other name
Rfam family: tRNA
About the family: Transfer RNA (tRNA) molecules are approximately 80 nucleotides in length.
Source: Rfam by way of RNAcentral